Long non-coding RNA from Acinonyx jubatus (cheetah), 1500 nucleotides. RefSeq lists it as uncharacterized. NCBI's taxonomy places the organism in Eukaryota, Metazoa, Chordata, Mammalia, Carnivora, Felidae. The record is from RefSeq and is a predicted model, not a curated record. The transcript is spliced from 4 exons.
AAAGGUGGUCAGUAAGGAAACUCAACUUAAACAAAGAUGGCAUUGAGCAUGUAAAUGAAGAUAUGUGCUUAAUAGUAAAAGUAAAAUUAUCCUUUCCAUAAAGAACAUGAAAUUACAAAUCUAUGGAGAGAAGAAGUUCUUGGUCACUGCUGGGCAGUGUGUGCGUGUGUUCAGGGGACAGUGAACAGGAGCAUCAGCUAGAAAGAAGAUCUGGAUCCUUCAUCUUUUGGAGAUUUGCCCCCUGCACUUGUGGAUACAGUUUGGGGAGGUCCAGUUUGGCUCUUUGAUAAUGUCUCUGGAGCUUGAAAUGAUUUCCAGUGGUGAAGGCCCGUCAUGACCCAUGUACCUCAUAUGAGCUCUCUAGGUUAGACAACUGGCAAGAUAAAAAUGAACAUGAAAUGUUGAAAACAACCAAGAGAAAGCUAUAACCAUUGUUCACUGUCUUUCCCUUCAAUACAAUACAAUAAAAGGAGAUUCCAUAAAAUCAUUCCACUUUGGUAUCAUACUUUAUGGGCAAUGUCAUUCUGACAUCAUUAUUCUGGGCCUCACGUUGACAUUAUAGAAAUGGGGACGGGCGAACUAACUUUUUCCUGAAUGCUCACUAAAGAUUGGAAAUGGACAAAGAGGAGAUCAAGCACUCAGUGGUGGGAUUUGGCACAGAAAAGCAGCUACAGCAUAGCUCUGACUUCUACCCCGAAAUUUAUUCAUUGUGUGACAUUGGAAAAGUUCCAGAACUUCUGUAAAAUGUGGACACUAAUUCUUACCCUCUGGUAUUUCUGGAAUAUUAAGAAAAAUAAUUAAAAUAGAAUACCUAGCACAUUAUAGAUACUUAGUAAAUGUUUCUUGAAUGCAUAAACAUACAAAAUGCAGUUCUUUUUAUUCUUCACCUUUUUCAAAAAUACUUUAUUGGUUUUUAAUUUCAACAAUAAUUGUAUCCAUUUGCUAGGGCUGCCAUCACAAAGAACCACAAAGCGGGUGGCUUAAACAACAGAAAUUUGUUGUCUUGCAGUUCUGGAGGCUGGAAGUCUAAAAGCAAGAUGUUGACAGCAAUGUUGGCUCCUUCUGAGGGCUAUGAGGGGAGGCGGUUGGUGCUCCAGGUCUCUCUCCUUGACUGUAGAUGGCCAUCUUUUCCCUGUGUCUUCACAUCGGCUUCCCUCGAUGCCUGUCUGAUGCUCUGAAUUUCCCCUUUUCAUAAGGGUACCAGUCAUCAGAACACCUACUACAGUAUGAUCUCAUUUUAGUUUAACUGAUUACAUCUGUACGAAUUUCAAAUAAGGCACAUUCUGGGGUACUGGGGAGCAGGUAGGACUUUAAAUAUGAAUUUGAGGGGGAUAUAAUUCAACUCAUAAAGGUAAUCAAGGCUUUGUGUAGUAAUUCAAGCAAUAGCAACAUAUGGAAAAUUAAUGUUCUCCUCCCCCAAUUUAGUUCCAUUCUUCUGCUUCCAACAUUUUUGAAUGUAUCCUUCCAUAAGUCUUUCUGUGACCCCCAACACCCCAGAUA